GACGAACGCUGGCGGCGUGCUUAACACAUGCAAGUCGAACGGAAAGGCCCUGCUUUUGUGGGGUGCUCGAGUGGCGAACGGGUGAGUAACACGUGAGUAACCUGCCCUUGACUUUGGGAUAACUUCAGGAAACUGGGGCUAAUACCGGAUAGGAGCUCCUGCUGCAUGGUGGGGGUUGGAAAGUUUCGGCGGUUGGGGAUGGACUCGCGGCUUAUCAGCUUGUUGGUGGGGUAGUGGCUUACCAAGGCUUUGACGGGUAGCCGGCCUGAGAGGGUGACCGGCCACCUUGGGCCUGAGAGACGGCCCAGACUCCUACGGGAGGCAGCAGUGGGGAAUAUUGCACAAUGGGCGGAAGCCUGAUGCAGCAACGCCGCGUUCGGGAUGACGGCCUUCGGGUUGUAAACCGCUUUCGCCUGUGACGAAGCGUGAGUGACGGUAAUGGGUAAAGAAGCACCGGCUAACUACGUG
RNAcentral lists this ribosomal RNA (468 nucleotides) under uncultured bacterium. RNAcentral's name for it is "partial 16S ribosomal RNA". It matches the Rfam family "Bacterial small subunit ribosomal RNA", at positions 28 to 507 of the family's 1533-position model. The record is from RNAcentral.